Molecule: ribosomal RNA, 776 nt
Filed under: uncultured Enterobacteriaceae bacterium
Lineage: Bacteria; Pseudomonadati; Pseudomonadota; Gammaproteobacteria; Enterobacterales; Enterobacteriaceae
Description: bacterial SSU rRNA
Rfam family: Bacterial small subunit ribosomal RNA
Source: RNAcentral
CGGCCCCUGGACAAGACUGACGCUCAGGUGCGAAAGCGUGGGGAGCAAACAGGAUUAGAUACCUGGUAGUCACGCUGUAAACGAUGUCGAUUUGGAGGUUGUUCCCUUGAGGAGUGGCUUCCGGAGCUAACGCGUUAAAUCGACCGCUGGGGAGUACGGCCGCAAGGUUAAAACUCAAAUGAAUUGACGGGGGCCCGCACAAGCGGUGGAGCAUGUGGUUUAAUUCGAUGCAACGCGAAGAACCUUACCUACUCUUGACAUCCAGAGAAUUUAGCGGAGAUGCUUUAGUGCCUUCGGGAACCCUGAGACAGGUGCUGCAUGGCUGUCGUCAGCUCGUGUUGUGAAAUGUUGGGUUAAGUCCCGCAACGAGCGCAACCCUUAUCCUUUGUUGCCAGCACAUUAUGGUGGGAACUCAAAGGAGACUGCCGGUGAUAAACCGGAGGAAGGUGGGGAUGACGUCAAGUCAUCAUGGCCCUUACGAGUAGGGCUACACACGUGCUACAAUGGCGUAUACAAAGAGAAGCGACCUCGCGAGAGCAAGCGGAACUCAUAAAGUACGUCGUAGUCCGGAUUGGAGUCUGCAACUCGACUCCAUGAAGUCGGAAUCGCUAGUAAUCGUAGAUCAGAAUGCUACGGUGAAUACGUUCCCGGGCCUUGUACACACCGCCCGUCACACCAUGGGAGUGGGUUGCAAAAGAAGUAGGUAGCUUAACCUUCGGGAGGGCGCUUACCACUUUGUGAUUCAUGACUGGGGUGAAGUCGUAACAAGGUAACCA